This 497-nucleotide ribosomal RNA is filed under the name uncultured bacterium. RNAcentral describes it as "partial 16S ribosomal RNA". It matches the Rfam family "Bacterial small subunit ribosomal RNA", at positions 28 to 507 of the family's 1533-position model. The record is from RNAcentral.
GAUGAACGCUGGCGGCGUGCCUAAUACAUGCAAGUCGAGCGAACGGACGAGAAGCUUGCUUCUCUGAUGUUAGCGGCGGACGGGUGAGUAACACGUGGAUAACCUACCUAUAAGACUGGGAUAACUUCGGGAAACCGGAGCUAAUGCCGGAUAAUAUUUUGAACCGCAUGGUUCAAAAGUGAAAGACGGUCUUGCUGUCACUUAUAGAUGGAUCCGCGCUGCAUUAGCUAGUUGGUAAGGUAACGGCUUACCAAGGCAACGAUGCAUAGCCGACCUGAGAGGGGGAUUGGGCCACAUGGAAACGAAGAAAGGGUCCGACUCCUAAGGGAGGGAGGAGUAGGGAAUCCUUCGCAAUGGGCGAAAGCCUGACGGGGCAAAGCCGCGUGAGUGAUGAAGGUCUUCGGAUCGUAAAACCUUGUUAUUAGGGAACAACAUAUGUGUAAGUAACUGUGCACAUCUUGACGGUACCUAAUCAGAAAGCCACGGCUAACUACGUG